RNAcentral lists this ribosomal RNA (682 nucleotides) under Symbiochloris handae. RNAcentral describes it as "eukaryotic LSU rRNA". The stretch from base 311 to 464 matches the Rfam family "5.8S ribosomal RNA". The record is from RNAcentral. Lineage: Eukaryota; Viridiplantae; Chlorophyta; Trebouxiophyceae; Trebouxiales; Trebouxiaceae.
AUCAUUGAUUCGAUCGAACCAACCCGGUGACCCUGGUGCGCCCGAACCUCAGACGGGGGAACUUGUUCUCCCUCUGUGGGGGCCGGCUCGUUGGGGCGCAAACACCCCUCGGCGCCUUCGGGUGCUGGGGGGGGCUCCAUCUGAGUCGGGCUUCGGGUCCCUCUCCCCCACCCCCUUUUUUUUUCCCUUCGGGGAAAGACCAGGGCUGGCGGGGGGGCUCAAGGGGGGCUUCGCGGUGGCCUCCUCCGAACCAGAAACCCGCCCUGAAGCAGUGCAGCACUUGCGGGUGCUGCAAACCAAUAAAAUAGACAACUCUCAACAACGGAUAUCUUGGCUCCCGUAACGAUGAAGAACGCAGCGAAAUGCGAUACGUAAUGUGAAUUGCAGAAUUCCGUGAAUCAUCGAGUCUUUGAACGCAAAUCGCGCUCGAGGCCUCGGCCGAGAGCAUGUCUGCCUCAGCGUCGUCUCAACCCCUCCCCUUCCUUUCCUUUAUGAAAGCAAGGGGGACCUGGUCGUUUCGAUGCUCCGCCAUCGAAUCGGUCGAAAUGCAGAAGGGCCCCUCUCUCACAAAGGGCUUCGAAAGGUAGACGCCUGCGGGCUGACAUCCGAUCGGAGCUCGAGGGCACAGGGCCGCCCUGAAGCCGGAGAGCACACCCACACACUUUGACCUGAGUUCAGGCAG